RNAcentral lists this ribosomal RNA (318 nucleotides) under Triticum aestivum (bread wheat). RNAcentral's name for it is "partial small subunit ribosomal RNA". The record is from RNAcentral. Lineage: Eukaryota; Viridiplantae; Streptophyta; Magnoliopsida; Poales; Poaceae.
AUGCGGGCAGCGGGAUCCGGUGGUCGUUGGCGGCAACGGUGGCUUCUACGACGGUCGGUGCGCGCGAUCUGGCGCCUCCCCUCCUCCCCUGUUCGGCAUGCGGGCCAGCCUGGUCGGGCCGCACUUCUUCUUGGUUGCCGGUUCUGUACAGGAGGCGCUGCUAGUGUCGGGGAUCUAGUUCGGGCGAAAUCCCUAGCCGGGCAUGACCGGCCACAUCGACGGCGACGCCUGAGGGCAUCGUUCCCCUCCUUGGAGGCGUCGGUAUGGACUGAUCUCCUCACUUCCCCUUCCUGUAGGUCUCCCGGACGAAAGCCCUAA